RNAcentral lists this ribosomal RNA (253 nucleotides) under uncultured bacterium. RNAcentral describes it as "partial 16S ribosomal RNA". It matches the Rfam family "Bacterial small subunit ribosomal RNA", at positions 524 to 776 of the family's 1533-position model. The record is from RNAcentral.
UACGUAGGUGGCAAGCGUUGUCCGGAUUUACUGGGCGUAAAGGGCGUGCAGGCGGUCUGUUAAGUCUAGGGUGAAAGCUCCCGGCUCAACUGGGAGAGGUCCUUGGAUACUGGCGGACUUGAGGGAGGCAGAGGAAAGUGGAAUUCCCGGUGUAGUGGUGAUAUGCGUAGAUAUCGAGAGGAACACCGGUGGCGAAGGCGGCCUUCUGGACAGUGACUGACGCUGAGACGCGAAAGCGUGGGGAGCAAACAGG